UAGGGAAUCUUCGGCAAUGGACGAAAGUCUGACCGAGCAACGCCGCGUGAGUGAAGAAGGUUUUCGGAUCGUAAAACUCUGUUGUUAGAGAAGAACAAGGACGUUAGUAACUGAACGUCCCCUGACGGUAUCUAACCAGAAAGCCACGGCUAACUACGUGCCAGCAGCCGCGGUAAUACGUAGGUGGCAAGCGUUGUCCGGAUUUAUUGGGCGUAAAGCGAGCGCAGGCGGUUUCUUAAGUCUGAUGUGAAAGCCCCCGGCUCAACUGGGGAGGGUCAUUAGAAACUGGGAGACUUGAGUGCAGAAGAGGAGAGUGGAAUUCCAUGUGUAGCGGUGAAAUGCGUAGAUAUAUGGAGGAACACCAGUGGCGAAGGCGGCUCUCUGGUCUGUAACUGACGCUGAGGCUCGAAAGCGUGGGGAGCAAACAGG
This 429-nucleotide ribosomal RNA is filed under the name Gemmatimonadota bacterium. RNAcentral's name for it is "Gemmatimonadetes bacterium partial 16S ribosomal RNA". It matches the Rfam family "Bacterial small subunit ribosomal RNA", at positions 355 to 776 of the family's 1533-position model. The record is from RNAcentral. Lineage: Bacteria; Pseudomonadati; Gemmatimonadota.